UACGUAGGUGGCAAGCGUUGUCCGGAUUUACUGGGCGUAAAGCGCCCGCAGGCGGCUUGGCAAGUCUGAGGUGAAAUCUCCCGGCUCAACUGGGAGGGUGCCCCGGAAACUGCCAGGCUCGAGGCAGGGAGAGGGAUGUGGAAUUCCCGGUGUAGUGGUGAAAUGCGUAGAUAUCUGAAGGAACAUCAGUGGCGAAAGCGACUUCCUGGACCAAUACUGACGCUCAUGUGCGAAAGCGUGGGGAGCAAACAGG
This 253-nucleotide ribosomal RNA is filed under the name uncultured bacterium. RNAcentral's name for it is "partial 16S ribosomal RNA". It matches the Rfam family "Bacterial small subunit ribosomal RNA", at positions 524 to 776 of the family's 1533-position model. The record is from RNAcentral.